This 468-nucleotide ribosomal RNA is filed under the name uncultured bacterium. Its description in RNAcentral is "partial 16S ribosomal RNA". It matches the Rfam family "Bacterial small subunit ribosomal RNA", at positions 28 to 507 of the family's 1533-position model. The record is from RNAcentral.
GACGAACGCUGGCGGCGCGCCUAACACAUGCAAGUCGAACGGAGUCAAGAGGAGCUUGCUUUUCUUGACUUAGUGGCGAACGGGUGAGUAACGCGUGAGUAACCUGCCCUGGAGUGGGGGACAACAGUUGGAAACGACUGCUAAUACCGCAUAAGCCCACGGAUCCGCAUGGAUCUGCGGGAAAAGGAUUUAUUCGCUUCAGGAUGGACUCGCGUCCAAUUAGCUAGUUGGUGAGGUAACGGCCCACCAAGGCGACGAUUGGUAGCCGGACUGAGAGGUUGAACGGCCACAUUGGGACUGAGACACGGCCCUGACUCCUACGGGAGGCAGCAGUGGGGGAUAUUGCACAAUGGGGGAAACCCUGAUGCAGCGACGCCGCGUGGAGGAAGAAGGUUUUCGGAUUGUAAACUCCUGUCGUUAGGGACGAUAAUGACGGUACCUAACAAGAAAGCACCGGCUAACUACGUG